UACCUGGUUGAUCCUGCCAGUAAUCAUAUGCUUGUCUCAAAGAUUAAGCCAUGCAUGUCUAAGUACAUGCCGAAAUAAGGCGAAACCGCGAAUGGCUCAUUAAAUCAGUUAUGGUUCCUUAGAUCGUUUCUUCCUACUUGGAUAACUGUGGCAAUUCUAGAGCUAAUACAUGCAGUGAGCCUGAAGCCCUUUGGGCGACGGGUGCUUUUAUUAGACCAAGAUCGAUCGGGUUUCGGCCCGUAUUGUGUGGUGACUCUGGAUAACUUUGUGCUGAUCGCAUGGCCACGAGCCGGCGACGUUUCUUUCAAGUGUCUGCCUUAUCAACUUUCGAUGGUAGGUUACUUGCUUACCAUGGUUGUUACGGGUAACGGAGAAUCAGGGUUCGAUUCCGGAGAGGGAGCCUGAGAAACGGCUACCACAUCCAAGGAAGGCAGCAGGCGCGCAAAUUACCCACUCCCGGCGACGGGGAGGUAGUGACGAAAAAUAACAAUACGGGACUCUUUUGAGGCCCCGUAAUUGAAAUGAGUACACUCUAAAUCCUUUAACGAGGAUCAAUUGGAGGGCAAGUCUGGUGCCAGCAGCCGCGGUAAUUCCAGCUCCAAUAGCGUAUACUAAAGCUGCUGCGGUUAAAAAGCUCGUAGUUGGAUCUCAGUUCCAGACGAGUAGUGCAUCUACCCGAUGCGACGGCUCGGACUGAACAUCAUGCCGGUCCUUUCUUGGUGCACUUCAUUGUGUGCCUCGAGAAGGCCGGUGCUUUUACUUUGAAAAAAUUAGAGUGCUCAACGCAGGCGAGUCGCCUGAAUAAACUUGCAUGGAAUAAUAGAACAAGACCUCGUUUCUGUUCUGUUGGUUUUUGGAAUACGAGGUAAUGAUUAAGAGGGACAGACGGGGGCAUUCGUAUUGCGGCGCUAGAGGUGAAAUUCUUGGACCGUCGCAAGACGAACUACUGCGAAAGCAUUUGCCAAGAAUGUUUUCUUUGAUCAAGAACGAAAGUCAGAGGUUCGAAGGCGAUCAGAUACCGCCCUAGUUCUGACCAUAAACGAUGCCAACCAGCGAUCCGCCUGAGUUACUCAAAUGACUCGGCGGGCAGCUUCCGGGAAACCAAAGUGUUUGGGUUCCGGGGGAAGUAUGGUUGCAAAGCUGAAACUUAAAGGAAUUGACGGAAGGGCACCACCAGGAGUGGAGCCUGCGGCUUAAUUUGACUCAACACGGGAAAACUUACCCGGCCCGGACACUGGGAGGAUUGACAGAUUGAGAGCUCUUUCUUGAUUCGGUGGAUGGUGGUGCAUGGCCGUUCUUAGUUGGUGGAGCGAUUUGUCUGGUUAAUUCCGAUAACGAACGAGACUCUAGCCUAUUAAAUAGGUGCGGGGUUCCCAGCACCUUACAACCUUCUUAGAGGGACAAGCGGCUCCUAGCCGCACGAAACAGAGCAAUAACAGGUCUGUGAUGCCCUUAGAUGUCCGGGGCCGCACGCGCGCUACACUGAAGGAAGCAGCGUGUCUUUAUCCCUGUCUGAAAAGACUGGGUAACCCGUGGAACUUCUUUCGUGAUUGGGAUAGGGGCUUGCAAUUGUUCCCCUUGAACGAGGAAUUCCCAGUAAGCGCGAGUCAUAAGCUCGCGUUGAUUACGUCCCUGCCCUUUGUACACACCGCCCGUCGCUACUACCGAUUGAAUGAUUUAGUGAGGUCUUCGGACCGAUGUCCGGCGCGGCCUUUCGGUUGCGCCGGUCUGUUGGAAAGAUGACCAAACUUGAUCAUUUAGAGGAAGUAAAAGUCGUAACAAGGUUUCCGUAGGUGAACCUGCGGAAGGAUCAUUA
This 1816-nucleotide ribosomal RNA is filed under the name Dermacentor andersoni. RNAcentral describes it as "small subunit ribosomal RNA". It matches the Rfam family "Eukaryotic small subunit ribosomal RNA". Lineage: Eukaryota; Metazoa; Arthropoda; Arachnida; Ixodida; Ixodidae. The record is from RNAcentral.